Nematostella vectensis (starlet sea anemone) is the source of this 45-nucleotide non-coding RNA. The record is from Rfam. NCBI's taxonomy places the organism in Eukaryota, Metazoa, Cnidaria, Anthozoa, Actiniaria, Edwardsiidae.
GCCAUGCUGACGAGUCCUAAUUAGGACGAAACAGCUGUCCAUGGU